Molecule: ribosomal RNA, 247 nt
Filed under: uncultured bacterium
Lineage: Bacteria
Description: partial 16S ribosomal RNA
Rfam family: Bacterial small subunit ribosomal RNA
Source: RNAcentral
AUACGUAGGUGGCAAGCGUUGUCCGGAUUUAUUGGGCGUAAAGCGAGCGCAGGCGGUUCCUUAAGUCUGAUGUGAAAGCCCACGGCUCAACCGUGGAAGGUCAUUGGAAACUGGGGAACUUGAGUGCAGAAGAGGAGAGUGGAAUUCCAUGUGUAGCGGUGAAAUGCGUAGAUAUAUGGAGGAACACCAGUGGCGAAGGCGGCCUUCUAGGCUGUAUCUGACGCUCAGACACGAAAGCUAGGGUAGC